This 964-nucleotide long non-coding RNA is filed under the name Numida meleagris (helmeted guineafowl). Its description in RNAcentral is "lncRNA (ENSNMEG00000003879.1)". The record is from RNAcentral. Lineage: Eukaryota; Metazoa; Chordata; Aves; Galliformes; Numididae.
UGGUGAGGGGUUCCGCCUGUUGAUGGUGAAUGGCUGGAGGGCUCCGCCUGUUGGUGGUGAAUGCAUGGAGGGCUCUGCCUGUUGGUGGUCAGAGUUGGGAGGGCUCUGCCUGUUGGUGGUGAAUGUCUGGAGGGCUCCGCCUGUUGGUGGUGAGAGCUGGGAGGGUUCCGCCUGUUGGUGGUGAAUGCCUGGAGAGCUCCGCUUGUUGGUGGUGAAUGCCUGGAAGGCUCCGCCUGUUGGUGGUGAAUGCCUGGAAGGCUCCGCCUGUUGGUGGUGAGAGCUGGGAGGUUCGUGGUGAGGGGUUCUACCUGUUGGUGGUGAGAGCUUGGAGGGCUCCGCCUGUUGGUGGUGAAUGCAUGGAGGGCUCUGCCUGUUGAUGGUGAGAGCUGGGAGGGCUCCGCCUGUUGGUGGUGAGAGCUGGGAGGUUCGUGGUGAGGGGUUCCACCCGUUGGUGGUGAGUGCCAGGGUGUUCGUGGUGAGCGCUGCCGCCUGUUGGUGGUGAGAGCUGGGAUGGCUGGCGCCUGUUGGUGGUGAAUGCCUGGAGGGCUCCGCCUGUUGGUGGUGAGAGCUGGGAGGGCUCUGCCUGUUGGUGGUGAAUGUCCGGAGGGCUCUGCCUGUUGGUGAUGAGAGCUGGGAGGUUCAUGGUGAGGGGUUCCGCCUGUUGGUGGCGAGCAGUCAGAGCUGAGAGGGCUCCGCCUGUUGGUGGUGAGCACCAGGAGGUUCGUGGUGAGGGGUUCCACCUGUUGGCGGUCGGAGCUGGGAGGGCUCCGCCUGUUGGUGGUGAGAGCUGGGAGGUUCGUGGUGAGCACUGCCGCCUGUUGGUGGUGAGAGCUGGGAGGGCUCCUCCUGUUGGUGGUGAAUGCCUGGAGGGCUCCGCCUGUUGGUGGUGAAUGCCUGGAGGGCUCUGCCUGUUGGUGGUGACAGCUGGAAGAUUCGUGGUGAGGGGUUCCGCCUGUUGGUGGUG